CCGAGGCGUUCAUGGGUUUAAAAAACAUUCAAUGAAUAAACCGUGUAGUUGGUGCAAUAGAAGUAAAAGAAACUGCCUACGUGUCAUCAGCAGGAUAAAGGCCUUAUCUUCUUAUUUUGGACUUUAUAUGGCGGUUGGCAACCAACAUUAGGUGCAUUACCUCAACCGACUGAAAGAAACUGAGGUCCACAUUCCAAUCACACACAUUUGAGAAGAAAAGGAUAAAUGUGGACAAGCAAUCAAUUACAGGUCAACAUCUAAAAAUAUUACACCCAGAGUGGAUCAAAACUCAGAAAGCUUAUAUUCUUGAUCGGACUGAGUUUUAAUCGUGUCUGCCUCUUUAGCUUAAUGAGUAGAGUCAUGAACAGUGGGUUGCUCACUUGCAUCCCUCGGAUUUGCCUUAGCAGCACAUUCACCAUUCUCCCAAACAGCUAACUCUGCUCUCUCGUGGCACAGGCCGAGUGCCUGAGACAUGAAACAAACUAACCCAGCUCGGGAUGGCUCAAUUGGGCAACUAGAGACGCUGCUGACAGUCUGUUGGCGAGAUGCCAGACAAAAGGCAAUUUUAAAACCGCCCCAAGACUCCUGCAGUGUCUACAGCAGUGGCGAUUUCAGCACUGCUGUAGAGUUGUGGGCUGCAUGCCAGCAAAGCCACAACACUAAACAAUACAUUAAUUGCACUAUAACGGUGAUGAGCGGUGCCCACAAACUGCCUACAUAAAGCUGUCCCAACAUCUUAACACUGCUACACCUGGCUAGCAGCAGAGCCUUGUCUGGCAGCGAAACAGUUCAUUCAGCCUCAUUUACUACCUUAAUUUGUUUUUAUUAGGUAACAGCUGAUAUGGCUGACUUGCUUAAACAAAUGUGGUUUCUAAUGGCAAUUGAGAUGUACAAACUAUUGCAUGAGGGGACAGCAAGCGGAUAAGAGGCAAUCCGUAAUUUCGAUUAAGACAUGAAUGAGCGAGCUAGGAUGGAUGUCGUCAACUAUUUUAGACCUUUUGAAAUGUACACCAAAAUAAUGGGCCGUUCUUACUGUGUUCUGCCUGUACCCCCAAGGAUGAGUAAAGGGUGGCGUUUAAGCAUACAAUGAAAGCUCAUGGAUUACAUUUCCCUAAAACGGUAUAGGCUACAUGUUAUAGGCACAUGGGCUACUAACGUCUUACUGCACAACACAGACUGAGUAUUACUUUCUUAGCUUCAGUAUACAUAUAUCCCUGGCAGAUUAUAUCAUUUAUAAAGCAGCAUACAAGACAUUUUUGGGCUCACCUUGUUGUACUCUCUUGAACAUGAUCAGUCCAAUCAAAGCUACUGUAGACAUAAAAUGACGUCAAAUCACGUUCUGUGGCCAAUAACCUUGAGCCUUCUUUGAUGGGCACUUCUAAUGUAACUCUAAGGCAGCACCCAAGGGGCUAGAAUGUUCUAGCUCUUCCCUUGGAUUUGGCAGUGACGUAGUGUCCCCAUGAGUGACAGAACACUGAGCCAAUCAUGGCGCAGCUCUCUAUUUUCUGCUGGCUGGCCCAAACCACCACAAAAAGCACUGAGCCAGGCUGAAACACCUGCAUUUUAGAGCUGCCUUACAAACGUGUUCUCUUUUUCUUGAGUAUGGCUUUAUUAACUUAAUUA
This is a long non-coding RNA of Oncorhynchus masou masou (cherry salmon), 1623 nucleotides long. RefSeq lists it as uncharacterized. NCBI's taxonomy places the organism in Eukaryota, Metazoa, Chordata, Actinopteri, Salmoniformes, Salmonidae. The transcript has 3 exons. The record is from RefSeq and is a predicted model, not a curated record.